AUGUCAUGAUGAGGGCACUUUCUAAGCAAAUCGUUAAACCUUUCCCAUGCCUCAUGAAACAUUUCCCCAUCCCUUAAAGUUUAAGUCUUAAAACUUCUUCCGGCAUGU
This is a small nucleolar RNA of Cornus florida, 108 nucleotides long. The record is from RefSeq and is a predicted model, not a curated record. NCBI's taxonomy places the organism in Eukaryota, Viridiplantae, Streptophyta, Magnoliopsida, Cornales, Cornaceae.